AACGAACGCUGGCGGCAUGCCUAACACAUGCAAGUCGAACGAGACCUUCGGGUCUAGUGGCGCACGGGUGCGUAACGCGUGGGAACCUGCCCUUAGGUUCGGAAUAACUCCCCGAAAGGGGUGCUAAUACCGGAUAAUGUCUUCGGACCAAAGAUUUAUCGCCUUUGGAUGGGCCCGCGUUGGAUUAGCUAGUUGGUAGGGUAAAAGCCUACCAAGGCGACGAUCCAUAGCUGGUUUGAGAGGAUGAUCAGCCACACUGGGACUGAGACACGGCCCAGACUCCUGCGGGAAGCAGCAGUGGGGAAUAUUGGACAAUGGGCGAAAGCCUGAUCCAGCAAUGCCGCGUGAGUGAUGAAGGCCUUAGGGUUGUAAAGCUCUUUUACCCGGGAUGAUAAUGACAGUACCGGGAGAAUAAGCUCCGGCUAACUCCGUG
RNAcentral lists this ribosomal RNA (433 nucleotides) under uncultured bacterium. Its description in RNAcentral is "partial 16S ribosomal RNA". It matches the Rfam family "Bacterial small subunit ribosomal RNA", at positions 29 to 507 of the family's 1533-position model. The record is from RNAcentral.